This 466-nucleotide ribosomal RNA is filed under the name uncultured bacterium. Its description in RNAcentral is "partial 16S ribosomal RNA". It matches the Rfam family "Bacterial small subunit ribosomal RNA", at positions 28 to 507 of the family's 1533-position model. The record is from RNAcentral.
GACGAACGCUGGCGGCGCGCCUAACACAUGCAAGUCGAACGAGCGAGAGAGAGCUUGCUUUCUCGAGCGAGUGGCGAACGGGUGAGUAACGCGUGAGGAACCUGCCUCAAAGAGGGGGACAACAGUUGGAAACGACUGCUAAUACCGCAUAAGCCCACGACCCGGCAUCGGGUAGAGGGAAAAGGAGCAAUCCGCUUUGAGAUGGCCUCGCGUCCGAUUAGCUAGUUGGUGAGGUAACGGCCCACCAAGGCGACGAUCGGUAGCCGGACUGAGAGGUUGAACGGCCACAUUGGGACUGAGGAACGGCCCAGAAUCCUACGGGAGGCAGGAAGGGGGAAUGGUGCAAAAUGGGGGAAACCCUGAUGGAGCGACGCCGGGAGGAGGAAGAAGGUCGUCGGAUUGUAAACUCCUGUUGUUGAGGAAGAUAAUGACGGUACUCAACAAGGAAGUGACGGCUAACUACGUG